UCUCUGGUGGCUCAGAUGGUAAAGAAUCUGCCUGAAGUGCAGAAGACCCAGGUUCUAUCCCUGGGUAGAGAA
This 72-nucleotide transfer RNA is filed under the name Bos taurus (domestic cattle). It matches the Rfam family "tRNA". Rfam says of the family: Transfer RNA (tRNA) molecules are approximately 80 nucleotides in length. The record is from Rfam by way of RNAcentral. RNAcentral also lists the same sequence under 3 other names. Lineage: Eukaryota; Metazoa; Chordata; Mammalia; Artiodactyla; Bovidae.